Molecule: unclassified non-coding RNA, 24 nt
Filed under: Dictyostelium discoideum
Lineage: Eukaryota; Evosea; Eumycetozoa; Dictyosteliales; Dictyosteliaceae
Source: RNAcentral
CUGAAGAAUAGCGCAGUGUAUGUG